Molecule: transfer RNA, 63 nt
Filed under: Colpocephalum eucarenum
Lineage: Eukaryota; Metazoa; Arthropoda; Insecta; Psocodea; Menoponidae
Description: tRNA-Asp
Source: RNAcentral
CAGAUUUUAGUUUAUCAAAAUAUUAACUUGUCAAGUUGAAGAAAAAAAUUGUUUUAAGUCUGA